GUGCCAGCAGCCGCGGUAAUACGGAGGGUGCGAGCGUUGUCCGGAAUCACUGGGCGUAAAGGGCGCGUAGGCGGUCUGUUAAGCGUGUGGUGAAAGCUCGGGGCUCAACCCCGAGUCUGCCAUGCGAACUGGUGGACUUGAGCACUGUAGAGGCAGGUGGAAUUCCGGGUGUAGCGGUGGAAUGCGUAGAGAUCCGGAAGAACACCGGUGGCGAAGGCGGCCUGCUGGGCAGUUGCUGACGCUGAGGCGCGACAGCGUGGGGAGCAAACAGGAUUAGAUACCCUGGUAGUCC
RNAcentral lists this ribosomal RNA (292 nucleotides) under uncultured bacterium. Its description in RNAcentral is "partial 16S ribosomal RNA". It matches the Rfam family "Bacterial small subunit ribosomal RNA", at positions 505 to 796 of the family's 1533-position model. The record is from RNAcentral.